UACAGAGGGGGCAAGCGUUGUUCGGAAUUACUGGGCGUAAAGGGCGCGUAGGCGGCCUCUUAAGUCGAACGUGAAAUCCCCGGGCUCAACCCGGGAACUGCGUCCGAUACUGGCAGGCUUGAAUCCGGGAGAGGGAUGCGGAAUUCCAGGUGUAGCGGUGAAAUGCGUAGAUAUCUGGAGGAACACCGGUGGCGAAGGCGGCAUCCUGGACCGGUAUUGACGCUGAGGCGCGAAAGCCAGGGGAGCAAACGGG
RNAcentral lists this ribosomal RNA (253 nucleotides) under uncultured bacterium. RNAcentral describes it as "partial 16S ribosomal RNA". It matches the Rfam family "Bacterial small subunit ribosomal RNA", at positions 524 to 776 of the family's 1533-position model. The record is from RNAcentral.